GACGAACGCUGGCGGCGUGCUUAACACAUGCAAGUCGAACGGAAAGGCCCUGCUUUUGUGGGGUGCUCGAGUGGCGAACGGGUGAGUAACACGUGAGUAACCUGCCCUUGACUUUGGGAUAACUUCAGGAAACUGGGGCUAAUACCGGAUAGGAGCUCCUGCUGCAUGGUGGGGGUUGGAAAGUUUCGGCGGUUGGGGAUGGACUCGCGGCUUAUCAGCUUGUUGGUGGGGUAGUGGCUUACCAAGGCUUUGACGGGUAGCCGGCCUGAGAGGGUGACCGGCCACAUUGGGACUGAGAUACGGCCCAGACUCCUACGGGAGGCAGCAGUGUGGAAUAUUGCACAAUGGGCGGAAGCCUGAUGCAGCAACGCCGCGUGCGGGAUGACGGCCUUCGGGUUGUAAACCGCUUUCGCCUGUGACGAAGCGUGAGUGACGGUAAUGGGUACAGAAGCACCGGCUAACUACGUG
This 468-nucleotide ribosomal RNA is filed under the name uncultured bacterium. Its description in RNAcentral is "partial 16S ribosomal RNA". It matches the Rfam family "Bacterial small subunit ribosomal RNA", at positions 28 to 507 of the family's 1533-position model. The record is from RNAcentral.